Non-coding RNA from Camellia sinensis, 1340 nucleotides. NCBI's taxonomy places the organism in Eukaryota, Viridiplantae, Streptophyta, Magnoliopsida, Ericales, Theaceae. The record is from RefSeq and is a predicted model, not a curated record.
AAGCCUACACAGUCGCUCUCUCACUCUCUCUCUCCUCACUGUUCGACUGUUCAUCGCCGCCCUUCAGCGGUGGCUCCACGACAACUCCACGUGGCGAGGCGAGGCAACGUUCGGUUCACCAACGUCGUCUCGCCGGAGAGCUUCCACACCUCCGCCGAGCUCCCGUUGCGAGCCACCACGCCUCCCGACGAGCUCAGAUCGACCAUCGCGACUUCUUCCCCCCAUCAACCACAGUCCUUCUAGAUCUGGUCAGAUCGAGUUCCUCUUGGCUUGGAUCGCAAGAUCAGAGCACACGAAAUCUACGCCGACUCCGUUGAGAUCUACACCUUCGGCUACAUCAAGGUCUUGUUUGGCUCUCAACAUCAAGGUUUGGUUCGGCUUCAUCGAGAUCUACUUGCUCCAUUGACUUUUGAUUUCAGCCACUGUAGGAUACGAAUACUCCGGCAAGGUCCGACCGUGGCGUCUAAUCGGCCAGUUCAUCCUUGCGCUGUCCAAUCCAUUGGAUCCAUUCCAGUUUUAUGCCCUCUUAGUUCGACACCGCCGGUAAUGACCAUGAAGCCACGCUCAGGCACCUUCUUAAUGGUAGCCAAAAUGAGCUUAAACUAGUGGAAACAGUGCUACAGAAAAAGCUAUCACAGGUAUAACUGCCACAACAUAUUCAAUAGUCUUGGCGUCUCUCACCACAUCUUUGAGCACCAAAAAAUAUCCGCCGCAAAAAGACACCGACACUGAAGCUAUGGAUAAGAAGAGCGCAGUCAAACCUAUGAGGAGCUCUGUCGGCAGGUCUUUACCGAAAUCUUUUGCUUUUUGUCGAGAAGUGAGAAUGGCGAGGAACAUUACCACUGCUGUCAGUGAAAAGCAGAGCGCUCCAAGUGAUGACGUGGAAAAUACCUUAAACAUGCGAUGUGCUUGGAGAACUGGAUCCCCAUUGCUUUCAGUGCCACCUGGCACACUUGCCAUCGUGGCAAAGGCGACAGUUGCAAUGAGUGCUGCUACGAUGGUGCAUGAAUCUGAGGUUUUCAUUAGCCACUCUGUGUCAUUUUGCACUAGCUCACUGUGUGUCUCUAUGAAGAUCUCUUGUGCGGUCUUGCCCCCGUUGUUUUGGUGUGCCACCAAAUGUUUUGGUAGAUGCUCUUUAAUGCACUACAAAUAUAGAUCAGUUUCAAAUCUAAAUCAAGUAUAUGAAUGGUUAAUUAGUUGAGGCUUUAGAUCAUAUAUCCCUAAGCAAAUAUAUCUAUUUAUACUAUACUGUUGUGUUAUUUUAUUUUAUUUUUGUUUUCCCAAAAUAUCUUCAUGUAACUGCUUUAAAAUCCAGAUUAAAAUUUGUAAUUUCUUGCAAA